Molecule: ribosomal RNA, 615 nt
Filed under: uncultured bacterium
Lineage: Bacteria
Description: bacterial SSU rRNA
Rfam family: Bacterial small subunit ribosomal RNA
Source: RNAcentral
GAUGAACGCUAGCGGCAGGCUUAAUACAUGCAAGUCGUUGGGCAGCACAGGUAGCAAUACUGGGUGGCGACCGGCAAACGGGUGCGGAACACGUACGCAACCUUCCUUUAAGCGGGGAAUAGCCCAGGGAAACUUGGAUUAAUACCCCAUAAGAUAAUUGGGUGGCAUCACUUGAUUAUUAAAGCUCCGGCACUUAGAGAUGGGCGUGCGGCUGAUUAGGUAGUUGGCGGGGUAACGGCCCACCAAGCCGACGAUCAGUAACUGGUGUGAGAGCACGACCAGUCACACGGGCACUGAGACACGGGCCCGACUCCUACGGGAGGCAGCAGUAAGGAAUAUUGGUCAAUGGACGCAAGUCUGAACCAGCCAUGCCGCGUGGAGGAUGAAGGCCCUCUGGGUUGUAAACUUCUUUUAUUGGGGAAGAAACCCAUCUUUUCUAAGGUGGUUGACGGUACCCAUUGAAUAAGCACCGGCUAACUCCGUGCCAGCAGCCGCGGUAAUACGGAGGGUGCAAGCGUUAUCCGGAUUCACUGGGUUUAAAGGGUGCGUAGGUGGGCAGGUAAGUCAGUGGUGAAAUCUCUAAGCUUAACUUAGAAACUGCCGUUGAUACUAUCU